This 53-nucleotide transfer RNA is filed under the name Erinaceus europaeus (western European hedgehog). Lineage: Eukaryota; Metazoa; Chordata; Mammalia; Eulipotyphla; Erinaceidae. The record is from Rfam by way of RNAcentral.
AGGGAGGUGGCUCAGUGGUAGAGUGCAGAACUUGCAUGUCUGAGGCCUCCCUG